RNAcentral lists this microRNA precursor (90 nucleotides) under Picea abies (Norway spruce). RNAcentral's name for it is "miR166a stem-loop (pab-MIR166a)". Its record names the gene pab-MIR166a. The stretch from base 11 to 80 matches the Rfam family "mir-166 microRNA precursor family". From Rfam's summary of the family: This family represents the plant microRNA (miRNA) precursor mir-166. Lineage: Eukaryota; Viridiplantae; Streptophyta; Pinopsida; Pinales; Pinaceae. The record is from miRBase by way of RNAcentral.
GGAGAUCUUGGUUGAGGGGAAUGCUAUCUGGCUCGAGGUCGCCUUCCUUCGUCGUCGGACCAGGCUUCAUUCCUCUCUACUUGGACUUCC